UAUAUCUCAGGUUCUUUGGGGGAAUCUGGGCCACGGAGAGCAACACCCCCCAGGACAUCAGCGGAUCAAUCGCUCCCACAGCCUUUCUUCACUACAGGUUAUCCUUUUUUACUGAUUCCGCCAGCACACGUAUUAUUCAUUUUAAACUGUAACUAUUAUACUAUAAAUAUAAUAAUUACGCUCAAUGUCCUGUCUUAAUGGUAAUAUAUCCACAGUCUUUCCAAUGCCACUGCAGACUCCAAAUGACACAAACAUGACAGAAAACAAUGUCAGAAGAAGGAAAAGCUCUUCCUCAGCCGACACCGGAGACAUUACUUUGCCUCUAAAGUUUCUGACUGACUAUCAUCUUUCUGCUCUAAGACAGCUGACGUCCGACAAGAAAAUCACAGUUCAUUUAGGUCUCCGUGUCUCUCUCACUGGUCCAGGUCAGCUACUAGACCCUCAGCUCCUCCUUGCCAUGAACAAAGAGCCAGGAAUCUACAACAUUGGAGAGAAAGGAGGACUCUUUUCAAUGAGAAUAGUGGGAAUAAAGAGAGUGACCUUCACACCAUGAUUGCAUCACCCACAGUCCACCCCUCUGUUCCCUCAAUCACUUGUAUUAUUUAUG
Long non-coding RNA from Eleginops maclovinus (Patagonian blennie), 607 nucleotides. RefSeq lists it as uncharacterized. The record is from RefSeq and is a predicted model, not a curated record. NCBI's taxonomy places the organism in Eukaryota, Metazoa, Chordata, Actinopteri, Perciformes, Eleginopidae. The transcript has 3 exons.